Molecule: ribosomal RNA, 873 nt
Filed under: Triticum aestivum (bread wheat)
Lineage: Eukaryota; Viridiplantae; Streptophyta; Magnoliopsida; Poales; Poaceae
Description: partial small subunit ribosomal RNA
Source: RNAcentral
AUGACGGACGAGCCUUCCUCCAACAGACUUGAAACCUCAAGAAUCUGCAACACAGCAAAGAACAGCUCCGCCCGCUGCAUACCAUCACCACUACCAUCACCCAAGGUCGAACGGGAGGACUGCCAGGAGGACGAGGAGGAGACCGGCGGGUCUCCCCUGUACCGCGACUGGCCGCCGGUGCCCAAGCGGCAGAGGACGGCCGUCUCGUUGUCGCCGCCGAGCUCCUCCGCGGAGCAUCACCACGGGAACGGAGGGGCAGCCUGCACGGAGGUUGCGGCUGCUCUGGAUAGGCUGGCGGGGACGUACGAGCGGGCUGAGGCGGCCAAGCAGAUGGAGGCGACACGGCUGGAGGACCGCCGCCUGGAGGCCAUGCGGGAGGGGGCAGCCAUGGAGAGGAGGGGGGAGGGGAGGGGAGGGGCUGCGAUGACUAACCACCGGGGAGAAGUCUACCCGUGGAAGCUAGUGGAUCGAAGGGGAAUCGGGAGGCUUGGGCCUUCGAAGCCACGCUUACCAAACAGGCCAACGGUCUCUCCUACCCCAAGCUUGGCUAGCCACUCCCCUCUCGCGCCGACAAACUCGCCCCCGCCGUGCCGCCGUCGCGGUCGCCUCCUCCUCUUCCCCAACUCCGAUCAGGCCCAGGCCGACGACGCGCGGGCGGCGGGGUACAGUGGAGGACUCUCCUGCGAGGGCACAUCAGUCUUCUCCCCACUUACCUCGGAGAGGGAGGUCACCGGAGGCGGCGACCUCGUCUCCGACGGCGCGGCCAUCAGGAAACGGCGACCUCGAGCCAGCGAAGGCGACCAGGUCUUCCAGCGGAUAGACCCCACAAUUCGAAAACCUAGGGGAGCACCGCGGCGUCUGAGAUUGUGUUGA